This 427-nucleotide ribosomal RNA is filed under the name Salmonella enterica subsp. enterica serovar Montevideo. RNAcentral's name for it is "bacterial SSU rRNA". It matches the Rfam family "Bacterial small subunit ribosomal RNA", at positions 108 to 531 of the family's 1533-position model. Lineage: Bacteria; Pseudomonadati; Pseudomonadota; Gammaproteobacteria; Enterobacterales; Enterobacteriaceae. The record is from RNAcentral.
GAGUAAUGUCUGGGAAACUGCCUGAUGGAGGGGGAUAACUACUGGAAACGGUGGCUAAUACCGCAUAACGUCGCAAGACCAAAGAGGGGGACCUUCGGGCCUCUUGCCAUCAGAUGUGCCCAGAUGGGAUUAGCUUGUUGGUGAGGUAACGGCUCACCAAGGCGACGAUCCCUAGCUGGUCUGAGAGGAUGACCAGCCACACUGGAACUGAGACACGGUCCAGACUCCUACGGGAGGCAGCAGUGGGGAAUAUUGCACAAUGGGCGCAAGCCUGAUGCAGCCAUGCCGCGUGUAUGAAGAAGGCCUUCGGGUUGUAAAGUACUUUCAGCGGGGAGGAAGGUGUUGUGGUUAAUAACCGCAGCAAUUGACGUUACCCGCAGAAGAAGCACCGGCUAACUCCGUGCCAGCAGCCGCGGUAAUACGGAGG